UACGUAGGCAGCAAGCGUUUGUUCGGAGUUACUGGGCGUAAAGGGUGUGUAGGCGGUUGCUUAAGUUUGGUGUGAAAUCUCCCGGCUCAACUGGGAGGGUGCGCCGAAUACUGAGUGACUCGAGUGCGGGAGAGGAAAGUGGAAUUCCUGGUGAUAGCGGUGAAAUGCGUAGAUAUCAGGAGGAACACCGGUGGUGUAGACGGCUUUCUGGACCGUA
This 217-nucleotide ribosomal RNA is filed under the name uncultured bacterium. Its description in RNAcentral is "partial 16S ribosomal RNA". It matches the Rfam family "Bacterial small subunit ribosomal RNA", at positions 524 to 738 of the family's 1533-position model. The record is from RNAcentral.